AGUGGAUGGGGAGCAACCUAGUUGUGCGUGUGUAAAGGUAGUGCCAGGAAAAGCGAUGAUCAUGUUGAAAAUCAAUUCCCGGUACCCGAAACCGACACAGGUGGGCAAGUAGAGAAUACUAAGGGGCGCGAGGUAACUCUCUCCAAGGAACUCGGCAAAAUGACCCCGUAACUUAGGGAGAAGGGGUGCCACCGAGAGGUGGUCGCAGUGAAGAGGCCCAGGCGACUGUUUAGCAAAAACAUAGGUCUCUGCAAACUCGAAAGAGGAGGUAUAGGGGCUGACGCCUGCCCAGUGCCGGAAGGUUAAAGAAGUUGGUUAGUUUCGACGAAGCUAGCGACGGAAGCCCCGGUGAACGGCGGCCGUAACUAUAACGGUCCUAAGGUAGCGAAAUCCCUUGUCGGGUAAGUUCCGACCCGCACGAAAGGCGUAACGAUCUGGGCUCUGUCUCGGAGAGAGGCUCGGCGAAAUAGGAUUGUCUGUGAGGAUACGGACUACCUGCAUUUGGACAGAAAGACCCUAUGAAGCAGGAAUAUAGCUUGGAAUUGUGUUCGGGCUUCCUGUGCGCAGGAUAGGUGGGAGGCGUAGAAGGUAUUCUUGUGGGGAUACUGGAGCCAACGGUGAGAUACCACUCUCAGGAGGCUAGAAUUCUAACUUAAUUAAGGACAGUUUCAGGUGGGUAGUUUGACUGGGGCGGUCGCCUCCAAAAAGGUAACGGAGGCGUACAAAGGUUCCCUCAGACUGGUUGGAAAUCAGUCGAAGAGUGCAAAGGCAGGAGGGAGCUUGACUGCGAGAAGUACAGUUCGAGCAGGGUGGAAACACGGUCUUAGUGAUCCGACGGUGCUGUGUGGAAGGGCCGUCGCUCAACGGAUAAAAGUUACUCUAAGGAUAACAGGCUGAUCUCCCCCAAGAGUUCACAUCGACGGGGAGGUUUGGCACCUCGAUGUCGGCUCAUCGCAACCUGGGGCGGAAGUACGUCCCAAGGGUUGGGCUGUUCGCCCAUUAAAGCGGUACGUGAGCUGGGUUCAGAACGUCGUGAGACAGUUCGGUCCAUAUCCGAUGUAGGCGUGAGAAUAUUGAGAGGAGCCUUCCUUAGUACGAGAGGACCGGGAAGGACGCACCGCUGGUGUACCUGUUAUGAUGCCAAUUGUAAACGCAGGGUAGCCAAGUGCGGAGAGGAUAACCGCUGAAAGCAUCUAAGUGGGAAGCCCACCUCAAGAUGAGUAUUCUGGUGUAAGGUCACGGGAAGACGACCCGUAAAUAGGCACGAGGUGGAAGUGCAGAGAUGUAUGAAGCCGAAGUGUACUAAUAGACCGUCGGCUUGACC
RNAcentral lists this ribosomal RNA (1324 nucleotides) under metagenome. RNAcentral's name for it is "bacterial LSU rRNA". It matches the Rfam family "Bacterial large subunit ribosomal RNA", at positions 1561 to 2925 of the family's 2925-position model. The record is from RNAcentral.